Molecule: ribosomal RNA, 183 nt
Filed under: uncultured bacterium
Lineage: Bacteria
Description: partial 16S ribosomal RNA
Rfam family: Bacterial small subunit ribosomal RNA
Source: RNAcentral
UGCAUGAAGUUGGAAUCGCUAGUAAUCGCGGAUCAGCAUGCCGCGGUGAAUACGUUCCCGGGCCUUGUACACACCGCCCGUCACACCAUGAGAGUCGGGAACACCCGAAGUCCGUAGUCUGACCACAAGGGGACGCGGCCGAAGGUGGGUUCGAUAAUUGGGGUGAAGUCGUAACAAGGUAUC